GUGAAGCGGCAACAGCUCAAAUUUGAAAUCUGGCGCAAGCCCGAGUUGUAAUUUGUAGAGGAUGCUUCUAGGUAGCGACCGGUCUAAGUUCCUUGGAACAGGACGUCAUAGAGGGUGAGAAUCCCGUAUGUGACCGGCCCGCACUUUCUACGUAGCUCCUUCGACGAGUCGAGUUGUUUGGGAAUGCAGCUCUAAAUGGGAGGUAAAUUUCUUCUAAAGCUAAAUACCGGCCAGAGACCGAUAGCGCACAAGUAGAGUGAUCGAAAGAUGAAAAGCACUUUGGAAAGAGAGUUAAAAAGCACGUGAAAUUGUUGAAAGGGAAGCGCUUACAACCAGACUUCUGGGCGGUGUUCCGCCGGUCUUUUGACCGGUCUACUCGCCGUCCCGAGGCCAACAUCAUCUGGGACCGCUGGAUAAGACCUCAGGAAUGUAGCUCCCCUCGGGGAGUGUUAUAGCCUGUGGUGAUGCAGCGCGUCUCGGGUGAGGUCCGCGCUUCGGCAAGGAUGUUGGCGUAAUGGUUGUCAGCGGCCCGUCUUGAAACACGGACCAAGGAGUCUAACAUCUAUGCGAGUGUUCGGGUGUCAAACCCCUACGCGUAAUGAAAGUGAACGGAGGUGGGAAGGGCAACCUGCACCAUCGACCGAUCCUGAUGUCCUCGGAUGGAUUUGAGUAAGAGCAUAGCUGUUGGGACCCGAAAGAUGGUGAACUAUGCCUGAAUAGGGUGAAGCCAGAGGAAACUCUGGUGGAGGCUCGCAGCGGUUCUGACGUGCAAAUCGAUCGUCAAA
RNAcentral lists this ribosomal RNA (785 nucleotides) under Ramularia coleosporii. Its description in RNAcentral is "eukaryotic LSU rRNA". It matches the Rfam family "Eukaryotic large subunit ribosomal RNA", at positions 93 to 909 of the family's 3401-position model. The record is from RNAcentral. Lineage: Eukaryota; Fungi; Ascomycota; Dothideomycetes; Mycosphaerellales; Mycosphaerellaceae.